GUGGGAGUUACCCGGUGUUCACUAACCCCACGACCAAGAACCCAAUCACUCGCUCAUCAUUCGACGCCACAAGCGAACAAACCGCAACCUAAGCAGCAGUAGGAGGAGGAGGAGUAAAAUCCCCACAAAAAUAUGAGCGCUAGAAUACUCCUACGCUAGCAGCGGAGGAGAGAGAGAAGUGGGAGUAGUAUACUCCUCGCUUGGUAUUCUUCUCCCGUCCCCCCUCUCCCUCUCUCUCUCUCUUGUUCCUUGGAGUUGUUGUCCUGGGACGGAGCUUAGAAAAAGGCCCCGCCUUUUGGCUCAUUCCUCACCUGCUCUGCUCUGCUCUGCUCCAGGGACGCGAGCGAGCUGCUCAGCGAGCGAGGGAGAGGGGGAGAGAGGGAUGGCGCGCGUGGAGAAGGUUGCCGGCGGCGAAGGGCAGGUGGAGGUGGUGGUCGGGGUGGACGGCAAGGGCGCGAUAGAGUGCCGGAUAUGCCAGGAGGAGGGGGAGGAGGCCGCCAUGGACUCCCCCUGCGCCUGCACUGGCACGCUCAAGUUCGCGCACAGGAAGUGCAUACAGAGGUGGUGCGACAAGAAGGGGAACAUCACAUGUGAAAUCUGCAACCAGGUUUACUCUCCAAACUAUGUUCUCCCUCCAACCAAGUGCUGUUCAGAUGAAAUGGGCAUGGAUCUUAGGCAAAGCUGGGUUGGACGAAUCGAUCCCCAUGAUUCCCAUUUCCUGGCGAUCGCCAUCGCGGAGCAGCAGCUGCUGAACGCUGAAUUUGAUGACUGCAUGACCUCAAAUUCGAGUGGCGCCACAUGCUGCCGGUCUAUUGCUCUAAUUUUGAUGUUCCUUCUGCUCGUGCGCCAUGUAACCGUGAUCGUGCGAGAUGUUAGCAUGCUACAAGAUGCGACGGUUCUGUUCAGCGCAAUUCUUCAGUUCGUGGGAUUCUUCCUUCCGUGUUACGUCAUAGCGCGCUUCUGCUAUGCCUUUCAACACCGGAGGCGAAGACAGGUUUAGGGGCAUGCCUGAACCCGGAACCGUACUUUGUCGCGCAAACCGGACCCCGACUUGAGAAGAGAAAGGCGGCGAAGCUUGCGAAGCGAAGCUUCUUCUUCUCCCCCUUGGCCGCAACGAAUCAUGGUUUCAUGAAAAAUGUAGGCGAAAAGUAGAUGGAUUGUGGUGGACGGAGUAGCUGCAACGGCACCCGUCGAGCUCAACUGUACAUAUGAGAGUCAGUUUACAGCUACAGAUGCAAGUUGAAGUUGAUGACAUUUUCGCUCC
Molecule: ribosomal RNA, 1264 nt
Filed under: Triticum aestivum (bread wheat)
Lineage: Eukaryota; Viridiplantae; Streptophyta; Magnoliopsida; Poales; Poaceae
Description: partial small subunit ribosomal RNA
Source: RNAcentral